RNAcentral lists this ribosomal RNA (877 nucleotides) under Hebeloma sp. RNAcentral's name for it is "LSU rRNA". It matches the Rfam family "Eukaryotic large subunit ribosomal RNA", at positions 72 to 931 of the family's 3401-position model. The record is from RNAcentral. Lineage: Eukaryota; Fungi; Basidiomycota; Agaricomycetes; Agaricales; Hymenogastraceae.
GGAUUCCCCUAGUAACUGCGAGUGAAGCGGGAAAAGCUCAAAUUUAAAAUCUGGCGGUCUCCGGCCGUCCGAGUUGUAAUCUAGAGAAGUGUUAUCCGCGCUGGACCGUGUACAAGUCUCCUGGAAUGGAGCAUCAUAGAGGGUGAGAAUCCCGUCUUUGACACAGACUANCCAGGGCUUUGUGAUGCGCUCUCAAAGAGUCGAGUUGUUUGGGAAUGCAGCUCAAAAUGGGUGGUAAAUUCCAUCUAAAGCUAAAUAUUGGCGAGAGACCGAUAGCGAACAAGUACCGUGAGGGAAAGAUGAAAAGAACUUUGGAAAGAGAGUUAAACAGUACGUGAAAUUGCUGAAAGGGAAACGCUUGAAGUCAGUCGCGUUGGCCGGGGAUCAACCUUGCUUUUGCUGGGCGUACUUUCCGGUUGACGGGUCAGCAUCAAUUUUGACCGUUGGAUAAAGUUCAGGGGAAUGUGGCAUCUUCGGAUGUGUUAUAGCCCUUGGUCGCAUACAACGGUUGGGAUUGAGGAACUCAGCACGCCGCAAGGCCGGGUACUUGUACCACGUUCGUGCUUAGGAUGCUGGCAUAAUGGCUUUAAUCGACCCGUCUUGAAACACGGACCAAGGAGUCUAACAUGCCUGCGAGUGUUUNGGGUGGAAAACUCGGACGCGUAAUGNAAAGUGAAAGUUGAGAUCCCUGUCGUGGGGAGCAUCGACGCCCGGACCAGACCUUUUGUGACGGAUCCGCGGUAGAGCAUGUAUGUUGGGACCCGAAAGAUGGUGAACUAUGCCUGAAUAGGGUGAAGCCAGAGGAAACUCUGGUGGAGGCUCGUAGCGAUUCUGACGUGCAAAUCGAUCGUCAAAUUUGGGUAUAGGGGCGAAAGAC